Myxocyprinus asiaticus (Chinese sucker) is the source of this 274-nucleotide long non-coding RNA. RefSeq lists it as uncharacterized. The transcript has 3 exons. The record is from RefSeq and is a predicted model, not a curated record. NCBI's taxonomy places the organism in Eukaryota, Metazoa, Chordata, Actinopteri, Cypriniformes, Catostomidae.
GUAAUAAAUGAAUACAACCGAACUAAGACUUUGGGGGAUGAAACGAGAAGGAAAAUGGUGAACAUCCUGGCAGCUGACAUGACAGAAAAGAACGGUACAUCACCACCACGGCAGGUUAAAGAAAAAUACGCCAGAGGAAUUGUGGCUUUGUUCCCUUACCUCAGUGACCCCUUCUCCAAAAAUGGCUAUGAGCAUUACUAUGAUUGUGAGAGUGGCACUGGGUACUUGGCAUGGAGAAUCAAAACUAUACAGAGAGGCUUGGCUAAAGAACGAC